This 484-nucleotide ribosomal RNA is filed under the name uncultured bacterium. RNAcentral's name for it is "partial 16S ribosomal RNA". It matches the Rfam family "Bacterial small subunit ribosomal RNA", at positions 30 to 507 of the family's 1533-position model. The record is from RNAcentral.
AUUGAACGCUAGCGGGAUGCUUUACACAUGCAAGUCGAACGGCAGCGCGGACUUCGGUCUGGCGGCGAGUGGCGAACGGGUGAGUAAUGUAUCGGAACGUGCCCAGUAGCGGGGGAUAACUACGCGAAAGCGUAGCUAAUACCGCAUACGCCCUACGGGGGAAAGUAGGGGAUCGUAAGACCUUGCACUAUUGGAGCGGCCGAUAUCGGAUUAGCUAGUUGGUGAGGUAACGGCUCACCAAGGCGACGAUCCGUAGCUGGUUUGAGAGGACGACCAGCCACACUGGGACUGAGACACGGCCCAGACUCCUACGGGAGGCAGCAGUGGGGAAUUUUGGACAAUGGGGGCAAACCUGAUCCAGCCAUCCCGCGUGUGCGAUGAAGGCCUUCGGGUUGUAAAGCACUUUUGGCAGGAAAGAAACGUCGCGGGCUAAUACCCCGUGGAACUGACGGUACCUGCAGAAUAAGCACCGGCUAACUACGUG